This 230-nucleotide ribosomal RNA is filed under the name uncultured bacterium. RNAcentral's name for it is "partial 16S ribosomal RNA". It matches the Rfam family "Bacterial small subunit ribosomal RNA", at positions 333 to 555 of the family's 1533-position model. The record is from RNAcentral.
GAUCACCUACGGGGGGCAGCAGUAGGGAAUCUUCCACAAUGGACGAAAGUCUGAUGGAGCAACGCCGCGUGAGUGAAGAAGGGUUUCGGCUCGGAAAACUCUGUUGGUAGUGAAGAAAGAUAGAGGUAGUAACUGGCCUUUAUUUGACGGUAAUUACUUAGAAAGUCACGGCUAACUACGUGCCAGCAGCCGCGGUAAUACGUAGGUGGCAAGCGUUGUCCGGAUUUAUU